GAUGAACGCUAGCUACAGGCUUAACACAUGCAAGUCGAGGGGCAGCAUGGUCUUAGCUUGCUAAGGCCGAUGGCGACCGGCGCACGGGUGAGUAACACGUAUCCAACCUGCCGUCUACUCUUGGACAGCCUUCUGAAAGGAAGAUUAAUACAAGAUGGCAUCAUGAGUCCGCAUGUUCACAUGAUUAAAGGUAUUCCGGUAGACGAUGGGGAUGCGUUCCAUUAGAUAGUAGGCGGGGUAACGGCCCACCUAGUCUUCGAUGGAUAGGGGUUCUGAGAGGAAGGUCCCCCACAUUGGAACUGAGACACGGUCCAAACUCCUACGGGAGGCAGCAGUGAGGAAUAUUGGUCAAUGGGCGAGAGCCUGAACCAGCCAAGUAGCGUGAAGGAUGACUGCCCUAUGGGUUGUAAACUUCUUUUAUAAAGGAAUAAAGUCGGGUAUGGAUACCCGUCUGCAUGUACUUUAUGAAUAAGGAUCGGCUAACUCCGUG
This 490-nucleotide ribosomal RNA is filed under the name uncultured bacterium. RNAcentral's name for it is "partial 16S ribosomal RNA". It matches the Rfam family "Bacterial small subunit ribosomal RNA", at positions 28 to 507 of the family's 1533-position model. The record is from RNAcentral.